RNAcentral lists this long non-coding RNA (391 nucleotides) under Elaeis guineensis (African oil palm). RNAcentral's name for it is "long non-coding RNA (EGUI_LNC069320)". The record is from RNAcentral. Lineage: Eukaryota; Viridiplantae; Streptophyta; Magnoliopsida; Arecales; Arecaceae.
UUCCAGUGCUUGAAUGUGGCUAAUGCAUCGGCGAGGUAUGGAUUGAAUGCCAGUAGCUCCUUCUUCAACGAUUUGAUCUUUCUUCCUCCAAGAGUAAGAUAAUGAACCAGAACUCUUUCACCCUCCUGCUUUAUGAGCCUAUCCUCUUCAAUCUUCUAAUUGUGUACCGGUCGGGAUGCCUCAGUAUAGGUCUGACUCGAUGGAAAAGCUCGGGAUUACUCUAUCUAUGUAUGGUAGAACGCGAGGUAUGGCAUUCAUCGGGGCAAAGAGGAGCCCCUUACCAACUUGCAAUUGAGUGAAUCACUCAUGUCGAAACUUAGGAUUUUGCCUCCUCUAUCGAUCGAGUGGUACUAACAUCAAGCAGAUAAGGGCUAUUGACUGCUUGACUUCC